RNAcentral lists this ribosomal RNA (1372 nucleotides) under uncultured bacterium. RNAcentral's name for it is "bacterial SSU rRNA". It matches the Rfam family "Bacterial small subunit ribosomal RNA", at positions 28 to 1381 of the family's 1533-position model. The record is from RNAcentral.
GAUGAACGCUGGCGGCGUGCCUAAUACAUGCAAGUCGAGCGAACGGACGAGAAGCUUGCUUCUCUGAUGUUAGCGGCGGACGGGUGAGUAACACGGGGAUAACCUACCUAUAAGACUGGGAUAACUUCGGGAAACCGGAGCUAAUACCGGAUAAUAUUUUGAACCGCAUGGUUCAAAAGUGAAAGACGGUCUUGCUGUCACUUAUAGAUGGAUCCGCGCUGCAUUAGCUAGUUGGUAAGGUAACGGCUUACCAAGGCAACGAUGCAUAGCCGACCUGAGAGGGUGAUCGGCCACACUGGAACUGAGACACGGUCCAGACUCCUACGGGAGGCAGCAGUAGGGAAUCUUCCGCAAUGGGCGAAAGCCUGACGGAGCAACGCCGCGUGAGUGAUGAAGGUCUUCGGAUCGUAAAACUCUGUUAUUAGGGAAGAACAUAUGUGUAAGUAACUGUGCACAUCUUGACGGUACCUAAUCAGAAAGCCACGGCUAACUACGUGCCAGCAGCCGCGGUAAUACGUAGGUGGCAAGCGUUGUCCGGAAUUAUUGGGCGUAAAGCGCGCGUAGGCGGUUUUUUAAGUCUGAUGUGAAAGCCCACGGCUCAACCGUGGAGGGUCAUUGGAAACUGGAAAACUUGAGUGCAGAAGAGGAAAGUGGAAUUCCAUGUGUAGCGGUGAAAUGCGCAGAGAUAUGGAGGAACACCAGUGGCGAAGGCGACUUUCUGGUCUGUAACUGACGCUGAUGUGCGAAAGCGUGGGGAUCAAACAGGAUUAGAUACCCUGGUAGUCCACGCCGUAAACGAUGAGUGCUAAGUGUUAGGGGGUUUCCGCCCCUUAGUGCUGCAGCUAACGCAUUAAGCACUCCGCCUGGGGAGUACGACCGCAAGGUUGAAACUCAAAGGAAUUGACGGGGACCCGCACAAGCGGUGGAGCAUGUGGUUUAAUUCGAAGCAACGCGAAGAACCUUACCAAAUCUUGACAUCCUUUGACAACUCUAGAGAUAGAGCCUUCCCCUUCGGGGGACAAAGUGACAGGUGGUGCAUGGUUGUCGUCAGCUCGUGUCGUGAGAUGUUGGGUUAAGUCCCGCAACGAGCGCAACCCUUAAGCUUAGUUGCCAUCAUUAAGUUGGGCACUCUAAGUUGACUGCCGGUGACAAACCGGAGGAAGGUGGGGAUGACGUCAAAUCAUCAUGCCCCUUAUGAUUUGGGCUACACACGUGCUACAAUGGACAAUACAAAGGGCAGCGAAACCGCGAGGUCAAGCAAAUCCCAUAAAGUUGUUCUCAGUUCGGAUUGUAGUCUGCAACUCGACUACAUGAAGCUGGAAUCGCUAGUAAUCGUAGAUCAGCAUGCUACGGUGAAUACGUUCCCGGGUCU